RNAcentral lists this long non-coding RNA (5374 nucleotides) under Jatropha curcas. Its description in RNAcentral is "long non-coding RNA (JCUR_LNC001507)". Lineage: Eukaryota; Viridiplantae; Streptophyta; Magnoliopsida; Malpighiales; Euphorbiaceae. The record is from RNAcentral.
AGAAUUAUCUCAUAAAAUUUUAAAUAUUUUUUUACUUUUACCCUUUAAAAUAAUAAAAUUUUCAAUUUUAACCCCUUUAACUCUUGAAAUUCUUUUUAGACCCCUAACUUUAAUUCCUCGCUUUCUUCCUCAGUCACUGGUGGUCAGGUGGGUACUGAAACAAUUGAAAUGAUGGAUUAUGAAUACUAAAUCCUCCAUCUAUUGCUAGAUUAUGACCAUUAAUAUAUCUACCCUCAUCACUAGCUAGAUAAAGUGCAGCAUUAGCAACAUCUUCAGCCUUUAGUGUCACACCUUUUAAACUAGCAAGUGAAUCCAUCAAAUUCUCUAGUCCUUCAUCAUCAAGCCCUACAAAUUUCGUCGCUAAAGGCGUAGCAAGAGCAUAUGGCGACAAGCAAUUCACCCUAACACCAAAUUGGCCUAAUUCAAUUGCUGCAUUUCUCGUAAGUCCUAAAACAGCAUGUUUUGAGCAAGUGUAUGCAUGAGAGGCUGCAGCACCGACAAGUGAACUUAUACUAGCUGUACAAAUAAUGCUUCCUUUACGCGCGGGAAUCAUAACACGGGCAGCGUGUUUAAUCCCGAGGAAAACUCCGGUUACGUUAACGCUAAGAACGCGUUCAAAGUCUUCCUUUUCGUUGUCGAUUAUGCGGGGUUUAUUGGGAUCAACAAUUCCUGCAUUGUUGAACAUUAUGUCUAGCUUGCCAUAGGUAGCAACUGCUUUGUCAACUGCAUUUUUUAUGUGGGCCUCAUUUGUGACAUUGCAAUGGACAUAGGUAGAGUUUGAUGGGCCUAGGGCUUGACUAACUGCUUGGCCCAAUUCAUCUUGAACAUCAGCAAUCACUAUUUUGGCUCCAUGGUGAGCAAAGACUUUGGCGGUGCAUUCACCGAUGCCGCUAGCGCCGCCUGUGAUUAGGGCUACCUUUCCCUCUAACCUGCAUUUUUUUUUUUUUUACAAAAUAAGUGAAAUAUUACGUCAUUGCGUCAUUGAUGAUGUUAUACUGCAAUACCCAUUAAUUGAUUAUAUAUUUAUAUUAAUUCGGAAUAUGUUUAAGCAGAUUUUAGUGGUUUUUUGUUGCAUAUUUUAUUAUAAUGAAAUAAAUUAAUUUAGCUGAUAAAAAAAAUUUUAAGUGAUUUUUUUUCAUCUAAAUACUAUUUUUUAUAGUGUUUCUAUGAAUAUAGAGUAUAGACUAACCUUACAGCUUAAAAUAACAUUUUAUAAAAAGUUAACCACGUGACUGAAAAGCUAUUUAAAACCAUUACUAAUUUUUAAAUACUGUUAAAAUAAUUAACAACUAUCUAAACAAUUAAUCCCAUGUAACAAAUUCUUAGUAAAAAUAACAAUAAUGUCAUGAAAUUAAUUUCAAAAUAAAAAGGACACGAGGUUACGCGAAAAAAAUGUACAAAAUUAAAUUAAAAAAAUAAUAGAUCCCAUGACUCAAUCCAGGUGAAAGUAUAUGUUUCCUAUUUACUUUGUGUGACAAGGUUGUAAUCUGGACCAAAUUACCUAAAUUAUUUAUCAAGUUAAUAAAAUUAUUGUUCAAAAAAAAAGUUUAAUAAAAUUAUCUUUUAGUCUCUCAAAUUUCAGUAAAUUAUAUUUUAACUCUUAAGUUUUAAUUUCAAGGUCUGCCCUCAUAUCACAUGAGUUCCAACAAACAGAGAAAGUCUUUUGUUUUAAAAGCUCAUUAUGAUCAUCAACAAGAAAAGAAAUACAAAAGCUUAUAGAAAUGGAAAUAAACAGAUGGAAAGAAAAUUGUAAGAUCGUGACUUACCUUCUUGCAACAGCUGAGAUAAAUGAAGCUGCCAUUUUUCCUCACAACCAAGUCCAGAGAGAAGCCUGUGAAAAUAUAGUAUAAGAAAUGCAAACUAAAGAACAGCUAAGAUAGAAGACAAAAGUUGCGGGAGAAGGAAUCUUAUAAUGGUGAUGCUUUGCUUUGUAAUAUAUAUAUAUAUAUAUAUAUAUAAGAAAUCGUUAUUUCUUUUCUUUUAUUACAUCGUUAUUUUUAUAAUCAUUAAGUAUUUUUGUAAUUUAAUUUUAUUCUCUCCCCCUAUGACUAUUUUUUAUGUGUUUGACCGAUACGAUAGGUAUCCAUUUUGAAGUUAAUUUUUCGUGGAUAAUUCAAUUAGAUAAAAUGAUAGCCACCUUAUUGUGAGCCGCCUUUGUUGAAAAAAAAUAUAUAUAUAUAUAGUUUAGCUCAAUUUCACGUGGGGAGAUGAGCUUUUGAAGGUGUUUGAAUUGGCUAUAAAAGGAAGUAUAUUUAGAUUUUUAAACACAUUAAAAAUACUUGAAUGAGUUUUAUAUUAGGGAUUUAAAGCAAGUCUUUUGAUAUUCCUUAGAGUAUAAAAUAUUUGGAGUGUUUUGAGGGUAUCGAGUAGAAAAAUAUUUUAUAAUUGUAGUCGUAACAAUUUGCCGCAUAGUAAAUAUUUUUCUUGAUUGUCGUUUGGCAACGACAGUGGUUUUUCUUCACUUGGAGAGUUUUCCACGUUAAACUAUUGUGUUAUUUAUUCUCUUUAAUUUCUCAGUCAUCAUUUUAUUUUUCUCAUUUAUUCCUGUUUGAAGUCGGUCCGAAAGAUGGAAAAAUAGCGAGUUUUCCAACACUUAUCAAUAUUGUACUUCUUGUAUAUUAAUAAUAGAGUAAUGUACACAUAUUAUCGAUAAAAAAAAAAAGUUUAGCUGACGAUUUACUAUCAAAAUAGAAUUAGACUUAUCUAGAGUGCGCAGUUUUUAUGUGCUUGAUUGGAUUACUCUGAUUUUUCUUGAUUGGGAUUUGAACCAUUGUUCAUUAUCAUCAUCCUCUAGACCUUCAUAGUCCUUUCCUACUACUACUUGUUAAUUUAUGUUACCAUAAUUAUCAUGUCCCCCUUUCUUCCUCUUUCUCAUCAUCCACAUCACUGGCAGGCAAGUGGAUUCAUAUCCACAUCACUGGAAGGCAAGUGGAUUCUCACAUGCAAAAGAAGAUGCCAAAAGAGUUUUGUCCAAUCACUCUCGCGUCUUUAAGACGCUCCGCACCCUCUAUCAUCUCCUUUUUUGUUUUCGUUUUCUUCUCUCUCUUUAGAUCUGACAAAUAAACUGAAAAAAAAUAUAUAUUAAAAAUGAAGUGGUAAUAAAAAUUACAAUAUAGCAAUUGAGUGAAGUACCAUAUGAACUUUGUAGAAAAACUUAAAGACUUACAGAAAUUGAUUGUAGAAUAUGGGAAAGACAUAUCUAGGUGUAAGUACACUAUCACCAAAUCGUCAGUAUUCUCUUCAAUUAAAUAAAAGCAAAAAAAAAAAAAAAAGAAAUUUAACUAAUUUUGUAAAAUGCUCAAUGUUAAAGCAUUUCAUGUUUCAUAUAAAAAUCUCCUCCAAUCUCUAAACGCUAUCGUAAAAACUAUGUUACGGAAGAUAUAAUUAAUAGAGAAAGAGUCUUCUCUCGGUCAAAAUGCUAAAACCUAAUAGCUCAAAAAGUGUUGUCGUAGUAAGGAAAAAAAAAAAAUGACGGGGCAAAAAUUGGUUAAUUAAAAAUUUUGAAGUUAAUUUUUGAAUUUUAGGAUAGGUUUGGUGUUAAGCUACUACUGUUUAAACGAAAUUAUGAACUUUCUUUAGCUUUCUGAUCUUGUCCUCGUGUAAGGUUUGUGAACAAGCCUCUUGAAGCUUGCGUGUAAGGUUUUUAUUAUAUAAUUCAUUUGACUGUUUGAUGUAGAUGGCUACGACUCGUGAUAAACUGAUAAUUUUAUUGAGGUUGAUGGAGACUAUUAAUUUGGAAUAUGAAGAUUGUGGUUGCAAAUUUAGGAGAUAUUUCUGCUGUAACGGCGAUAAAACAAAGAGAGCAAUCAAGUUUACUUUAAUCGCGUGAAGUGUAUUUUUUAUGUGCUUUGUGUUUAGUUAAAAAAUUUAUUGUAAUAUUAAUUUUUCUAUGAUUUUUAUUUUGAUUUUGAAGAACAAAUUCAUUUUGUUCAUAAUAAUGUAUUUCUACGCUUGAUUUGAGUUAAGUGAGUCAUGUUUUUUUUUUUUUUUUUUUUAACCACAUGACCUAUUUAAUUAGAUAGAUUACAUAUUUAGUAUUCCUGUCAACUGUUUAAUUUUCAUGUCGUACCAGCAUUCAAAAAUUUGACAAAAUUAUCAAACUGGUUGGUUUGACUAUAAUCAUAUCGCAUAUUAAGUGAAUCUAUGUCAAACCCGACAUGCCAACCCAUGACACCUCUAUUAAUUCUCUUGUUCUUUCAUCCAAAAUUUUCAACUUAUUGUAUAUAUCAAAGAUUUUUAUUUUUAUUUCUAUUUUGGUUAUGCAAUUGCGUUUGGUUGGGGGGUAAGUAGACUAGGAAAGUGCAACUUUUAGGAAGUGCAUCUUUUCGGAAAGUGCAUAAAAUAUUUGUGUUUAGUUUGCAUUAUCAUUUAUACUUUCUGGAAGUAGAUCAUCCAAUUUUCCUUACACAAGAGAAGUAAGGUAAGUAAGUUCCUUAGAUAUGGGUAGGAAAGUUGCACUUCCUUAGCUAAGUGCAAUUAAUUUACUAAUUUAUCCUAUUAUCUAGAUAUUAUUGUAAUUUGUAGUUUAAGAUCAAUUCACUUGAUUUGCAUACCAAACACAUAAAAAUUAUACUUCCGAAGUAGGAAUUAUACUUCUCAAUAAUUGAAUUUCUAAUUGAUUUCCGAUUAUUGGUCAAAUUUACUCCUUUUCUGUAAUUAUACCUUGUAUUUUUGCGUUAAUUGUUCAAAAUUUUAACAUGAAGUUGCUCAAAGAUCACACUUGGAAAAAAAAAAACUAUAUUUUCAUUUCAAUUAUAAGGGAAAAGCUAAAAUUGAAAUUUGAAGUUAUUACAAAUAUAUUUUUAAUCUAAUCUAUGAGUUUGGAUUGAAAUUAAUUAGGUUCAAAGAAAUUUUUUUUUUUUCUUCAAGAAUAUAUUUUUAGUAAGAGUUGAAAACCACAAAUUACAAAUACAUCAAACUCACCAUAAAAGAGUUCUAUUAAUAUCUUAUUAGUAUUUUCAACAUAUUAUUUAAAAAGAAAACAGAGAAAUAGAACAGUUCAAACAGUCAUGUCAUACAAAUACUAUUAAUUAAGCACAUGGUGCACUGAAGAAGCUAGGGGGCUGGCCCCGCCACCCGCCCCCUCCUAAUUAAAAUUUUUUUUAAGAAUUAUCUCAUAAAAUUUUAAAUAUAUUUUUUUAUUUUUACCCUUUAAAAUAAUAAACUUUUCAAUUUUACCCCCCUUUAACUCUUGAAAUUCUUUUUAGACCCCUAACUUUAAUUCCUCGCUUUCCUCCUCAGUCACUGGUGGUCAUCAGGUGGGUACUGAAACAUUUGAAAUGAUGGAUUAUGAAUACUAAUUCCUCCAUCUAUUGCUAGAUUAUGACCAUUAAUAUAUCUACCCUCAUCACUAGCUAGAUAAAGUGCAGCAUUA